GAUGAAGAACGUAGUGAAAUGCGAUAAGUAAUGUGAAUUGCAGAAUUCAGUGAAUCAUCGAAUCUUUGAACGCACAUUGCGCCCGCCAGUAUUCUGGCGGGCAUGCCUGUUCGAGCGUCAUUUCAACCAUCAAGCCCCCGGCUUGUGUUGGGGACCUGCGGCUGCCGCAGGCCCUGAAAACCAGUGGCGGGCUCGCUAGUCACUCCGAGCGUAGUAAUACAUCUCGCUCAGGGCGUGCUGCGGGUUCCGGCCGUUAAAAAGCCUUAUUUACCCAAGGUUGACCUCGGAUCAGGUAGGAAGACCCGCUGAACUUAAGCAUAUCAAAAGCGGAGA
This 333-nucleotide unclassified non-coding RNA is filed under the name soil metagenome. RNAcentral's name for it is "partial contains 5.8S ribosomal RNA, internal transcribed spacer 2, and large subunit ribosomal RNA". The stretch from base 1 to 120 matches the Rfam family "5.8S ribosomal RNA", at positions 35 to 154 of the family's 154-position model. The record is from RNAcentral.